AACGAACGCUGGCGGCAGGCUUAACACAUGCAAGUCGAACGGAGCCUUCGGGCUUAGUGGCGCACGGGUGAGGAACACGUGGGAAUGUACCCCUUGGUAAGGAAUAAUAUCUGGAAACGGAUACUAAUACCUUAUAAUGACUUCGGUCCAAAGAUUUAUCGCCAAGGGAUCAGCCCGCGUAUGAUUAGUUUGUUGGUGAGGUAAUGGCUCACCAAGACUACGAUCAUUAGCUGGUCUGAGAGGACGAUCAGCCACACUGGUACUGAGACACGGACCAG
This 278-nucleotide ribosomal RNA is filed under the name uncultured bacterium. RNAcentral's name for it is "partial 16S ribosomal RNA". It matches the Rfam family "Bacterial small subunit ribosomal RNA", at positions 29 to 334 of the family's 1533-position model. The record is from RNAcentral.